GCUUGUCUCAAAGAUUAAGCCAUGCAUGUCUAAGUACAACUCUUGUAAAGUGAAACCGCGAAUGGCUCAUUAAAUCAGUUAUGAUUCCUUAGAUCGUUUUUAUUACAUGGAUAACUGUGGUAAUUCUAGAGCUAAUACAUGCAAAAAGCUCUGACCGUAUGGGAAGAGCGCUUUUAUUAGACCAAAACCAAUGGGGUCGAAAGACUCCUUUGUUUGGUGACUCUGGAUAACUUUGUGCUGAUCGCAUGGCCUAGAGCCGGCGACGUAUCUUUCAAAUGUCUGACCUAUCAACUUUCGAUGGUAAGCGAUUUGCCUACCAUGGUUGUAACGGGUAACGGGGAAUCAGGGUUCGAUUCCGGAGAGGGAGCAUGAGAAAUGGCUACCACAUCUACGGAAGGCAGCAGG
RNAcentral lists this ribosomal RNA (405 nucleotides) under Conochilus hippocrepis. RNAcentral's name for it is "partial small subunit ribosomal RNA". It matches the Rfam family "Eukaryotic small subunit ribosomal RNA", at positions 30 to 432 of the family's 1831-position model. The record is from RNAcentral. Lineage: Eukaryota; Metazoa; Rotifera; Eurotatoria; Flosculariaceae; Conochilidae.